Molecule: long non-coding RNA, 1459 nt
Organism: Apis cerana (Asiatic honeybee)
Lineage: Eukaryota; Metazoa; Arthropoda; Insecta; Hymenoptera; Apidae
Source: RefSeq, a predicted model, not a curated record
CCAUCUCAAUUUCUCUUUAUUCAAAAAUAACAAUCAACGUGAUUUACAUUAUUAUACUCGAUUUCUUAUCUCAAAUAAUCAUAGCCAAAUGAUUUUCAGUUUCAUCAUUUCCUAACCUCGAAAUCUCGAAACAAUUAUGUCACUAUUAAAAUAUUUCGAUACACGAUUCGAGAUAUAAUACUACUAAAAAAAACGGUAUCUCCCAAUCAACUGUCAAUCUUUAAAUUAUUUAUCGUAGAAGAACGAAAAGAGAGAAAGAGAGAGAAUUUUUACUCAAAGGCCCGAUUUACAUGGAAGUAGUAUACAUACGCCCGCGCACUAAUUUCCAUGCAAAUAAAGGUCGUCAACGAGAGAGAGAGCGCGCAGACGCCCCACUCUCACGCGAUUCUGAACACGGUCACAAGCAGAACACAUAUCUACAUAGCAGGCGCGGAGGAGGCGCCUAUGUGUACGCUAGUACCAAUACCAAAGCUAACUUAGACCGAUAUGCACGACCGUCUUGUUCUCCGCGAUCUCUCGCGACGCCAGUUCGUUUCUAGCGUCGUUCGCAAACUCAGUCACGCGUGCCCUCCCCAAUUUUUCCGCCGAACCGGAAACCGUGCCGCGACACGCGCCUAGCGCCACACCGUUUCGUCUGCCAGUUUUUCCUCUCUCGCGUAUGUCGAUCAGACAGGACCCAGAGUGGCCAGCCGUUUAACCAGGCUUACCAGUGUCGUCGUUCGCUCUUCUGGCACCGUUAUUCCGUCCUUGAAAAGAUACCAGUCUUACGAGAAGCAUCUAGAGACAUCGACCGAAGUGAAGCCGCAGUAUUCGUGCGAUCGUUAUAUCCCAUUGAUUCACCUCGACUUUUACUCGUAAACAUCGAAAGAAGUUUGUUUGGAUACGUGCAUUGCCUCGUCUAUCUUGCUAUUGGACGAAAUUCUUAGGAUUUCGAGUAGGAUAUCAUCGUAACAGGAUAACAGUAUACAGGAAGGUACCACCAUGAAAUUCAAGCGAGAAUGCAUUGGUAUUUUGUUCACGGAGAUGUAAUACGAGAAAUAAAGCAGGACAUUAAAAGAAACUAACCAUCGCGUAAACUUGUACGACAAGUUUCGUUCACACGACACUGACAACCUUUCAUCAAGUUCAAUGUUGAAUUAAAAGAAUAUACAUAAACUAUAUGCCAUGUAUGUCUUUUUUUGGCUUUUUUUUUCAAUAAACAAUCAAAUUUUUUUCGGUAUAUAAUUUAUUCGUAUGACGUACUUAUGUUAUUUUGUAUGAUUACUUUUCUACUUUUCUAUGAAAUCAAUCAUUACGGUAAAUAACGUAAAUAACAUGUACAUUUCUUUUGUUUUUUUUCUUUGAGCAAAGUCUGUAAUUUUAUAGGGAUUAAUAUUAAUAUUAUAAAACAUUUAAGAACUCCUACGAACAAAUUUAAAAUUAAAAAAAAAAAUAAACUUUACAAUCUUAUAUGUGUAAA